GGUUGAUUAGUGUAGUUGGUUAUCACAUCGGAUUUUGAGCACAAACUUCCGGAGACCCGGGUUCGAAUCCCAGAUCGACCU
Blumeria graminis f. sp. tritici 96224 is the source of this 81-nucleotide transfer RNA. It matches the Rfam family "tRNA". Rfam says of the family: Transfer RNA (tRNA) molecules are approximately 80 nucleotides in length. Lineage: Eukaryota; Fungi; Ascomycota; Leotiomycetes; Helotiales; Erysiphaceae. The record is from Rfam.